UUCCUACGGGCGGCAGCAGUCGGGAAUUUUGGGCAAUGGGCGAAAGCCUGACCCAGCAACGCCGCGUGAAGGAUGAAGUAUUUCGGUAUGUAAACUUCGAAAGAAUAGGAAGAAUAAAUGACGGUACUAUUUAUAAGCUCCGGCUAACUACGUGCCAGCAGCCGCGGUAAUACGUAGGGAGCAAGCGUUGUUCGGAUUUACUGGGCGUAAAGGGCGCGUAGGCGGGGCGGUAAGUCACUUGUGAAAUCUCUGGGCUUAACUCAGAACGGCCAAGUGAUACUGCAGUGCUAGAGUGCAGAAAGGGCAAUCGGAAUUCUUGGUGUAGCGGUGAAAUGCGUAGAUAUCAAGAGGAACACCUGAGGCGAAGGCGGGUUGCUAGGCUGACACUGACGCUGAGGCGCGAAAGCCAGGGGAGCAAACGGGAUUAGAUACCCGAGUAGUC
This 442-nucleotide ribosomal RNA is filed under the name uncultured bacterium. RNAcentral's name for it is "bacterial SSU rRNA". It matches the Rfam family "Bacterial small subunit ribosomal RNA", at positions 336 to 795 of the family's 1533-position model. The record is from RNAcentral.